RNAcentral lists this transfer RNA (65 nucleotides) under Chelonibia testudinaria. RNAcentral's name for it is "tRNA-Asp". It matches the Rfam family "tRNA". Rfam says of the family: Transfer RNA (tRNA) molecules are approximately 80 nucleotides in length. Their secondary structure includes four short double-helical elements and three loops (D, anti-codon, and T loops). Lineage: Eukaryota; Metazoa; Arthropoda; Thecostraca; Balanomorpha; Chelonibiidae. The record is from RNAcentral.
GAAAAUUUAGUUAAAUUAUAUAAUAUUAGCUUGUCAUGCUAAAGUUACCCUUUAGGUAAUUUUCU